RNAcentral lists this transfer RNA (54 nucleotides) under Homotoma unifasciata. RNAcentral's name for it is "tRNA-Leu". The record is from RNAcentral. Lineage: Eukaryota; Metazoa; Arthropoda; Insecta; Hemiptera; Carsidaridae.
AUGUGGCAGAUAAAUGCUCUAAAUUUAAGAUUUAAUUAUGAAAUUCCUUUAGAA